RNAcentral lists this unclassified non-coding RNA (231 nucleotides) under fungal sp. Its description in RNAcentral is "partial internal transcribed spacer region". The stretch from base 1 to 46 matches the Rfam family "Eukaryotic small subunit ribosomal RNA", at positions 1786 to 1831 of the family's 1831-position model. Lineage: Eukaryota; Fungi. The record is from RNAcentral.
AAGUCGUAACAAGGUUUCCGUAGGUGAACCUGCGGAAGGAUCAUUAAAAAAAGGGUCGCAAGACCCGUUUUUAAACACUAUCACCGCCUAUCAUCUAUGGGUAGGAUAUUCUUGUCUAUGGGUGAGAUGGAGGAGGUAGGGUUUUUUAAAAUCCAAUUAUUAUAAAAUAUAUCGUCUAAUGACGAACCAAAAAAAUUAUCAAAACUUUCAACAAUGGAUCUCUUGGCUCUC